GUUGGUGGUUAUUGUGUCGGGGGUACGCCCGGUCCCUUUCCGAACCCGGAAGCUAAGCCCGAU
Molecule: ribosomal RNA, 63 nt
Filed under: Corynebacterium diphtheriae bv. gravis
Lineage: Bacteria; Bacillati; Actinomycetota; Actinomycetes; Mycobacteriales; Corynebacteriaceae
Also listed under: 1 other name
Source: RNAcentral